GUCCCUGUAGCUCAGCAGGAUAGAGCAACGGACUUCUAAUCCGUAGGUCGGGGGUUCGAAUCCCUCCAGGGACG
RNAcentral lists this transfer RNA (74 nucleotides) under Syntrophothermus lipocalidus DSM 12680. It matches the Rfam family "tRNA". Rfam says of the family: Transfer RNA (tRNA) molecules are approximately 80 nucleotides in length. Their secondary structure includes four short double-helical elements and three loops (D, anti-codon, and T loops). Lineage: Bacteria; Bacillati; Bacillota; Clostridia; Eubacteriales; Syntrophomonadaceae. The record is from Rfam by way of RNAcentral.